GAUGAACGCUAGCGGCAGGCCUAACACAUGCAAGUCGAGGGGUAGAAAGAGCUUGCUCUUUUGAGACCGGCGCACGGGUGAGUAACGCGUAUGGAACCUGCCCUCUACAGGGGAAUAGCC
This 120-nucleotide ribosomal RNA is filed under the name uncultured bacterium. RNAcentral describes it as "partial 16S ribosomal RNA". It matches the Rfam family "Bacterial small subunit ribosomal RNA", at positions 28 to 148 of the family's 1533-position model. The record is from RNAcentral.